ACUCCUACGGGAGGCAGCAGUGGGGAAUAUUGCACAAUGGGCGCAAGCCUGGUGCAGCAACGCCGCGUGAGGGACGACGGCCUUCGGGUUGUAAACCUCUUUUAGUAGGGAAGAAGCGAAAGUGACGGUACCUGCAGAAAAAGCACCGGCUAACUACGUGCCAGCAGCCGCGGUAAUACGUAGGGUGCAAGCGUUAUCCGGAAUUAUUGGGCGUAAAGAGCUCGUAGGCGGUUUGUCGCGUCUGCUGUGAAAACUGGAGGCUCAACCUCCAGCCUGCAGUGGGUACGGGCAGACUAGAGUGCGGUAGGGGAGAUUGGAAUUCCUGGUGUAGCGGUGGAAUGCGCAGAUAUCAGGAGGAACACCGAUGGCGAAGGCAGAUCUCUGGGCCGUAACUGACGCUGAGGAGCGAAAGCAUGGGGAGCGAACAGGAUUAGAUACCCUGGUAGUCCAUGCCGUAAACGUUGGGAACUAGAUGUAGGGGCCAUUCCACGGUUUCUGUGUCGCAGCUAACGCAUUAAGUUCCCCGCCUGGGGAGUACGGCCGCAAGGCUAAAACUCAAAGGAAUUGACGGGGGCCCGCACAAGCGGCGGAGCAUGCGGAUUAAUUCGAUGCAACGCGAAGAACCUUACCAAGGCUUGACAUAUACCGGAAAAGUUCAGAAAUGUUCUCCCCGCAAGGUCGGUAUACAGGUGGUGCAUGGUUGUCGUCAGCUCGUGUCGUGAGAUGUUGGGUUAAGUCCCGCAACGAGCGCAACCCUCGUUCUAUGUUGCCAGCACGUAAUGGUGGGAACUCAUAGGAGACUGCCGGGGUCAACUCGGA
Molecule: ribosomal RNA, 819 nt
Filed under: uncultured Actinomycetes bacterium
Lineage: Bacteria; Bacillati; Actinomycetota; Actinomycetes
Description: bacterial SSU rRNA
Rfam family: Bacterial small subunit ribosomal RNA
Source: RNAcentral